Nerophis ophidion (straightnose pipefish) is the source of this 1345-nucleotide long non-coding RNA. RefSeq lists it as uncharacterized. The record is from RefSeq and is a predicted model, not a curated record. Lineage: Eukaryota; Metazoa; Chordata; Actinopteri; Syngnathiformes; Syngnathidae. The transcript is spliced from 4 exons.
CGUAGGAGAAAGCCAGUUCACAAACUUACAGCGAGGUUCGGUCCCUCGGGAUGCAGACAGACCACUCCGGACAAGGAGUGCAGGCUUGCGGCUUCCGUUCCCAGGCUGGGAGCUUGGAGGUGUGGGACACAACAAGUCCAGCUCCUGAUACUUCCUGUAAAUGACAAGACAGAAGAUGGGAAGAUGGAUAACUUGGGUCAGUAAAUAUGUAUCUGGACACAUGAGGACUUGGAAUCUGACCAUCCAUCCAUCCUUCCAUUUUCUACCGCUUAUUCCCUUUGGUGCCUAUCUCAGCUACAAUCGGGCGGAAGGUGGAGUACACCCUGGACAAGUCGCCACCUCAUCGCAGUACUGGCUGUCCAGAGUCGGGACCCAGGAUGGACCGCUCGCCUGUGUAUCGGUCGGGGACAUCUCUACGCUGCUGAUCCGCCUCCGCUUGAGAUGGUUUCCUGUGGACGGGACUCUCGCUUCUGUCUUGGAUCCGCUUGAGCUGAACUCUCGCGGCUGUGUUGGAUCCACUAUGGAUUGAACUUUCACAGUAUCAUGUUAGACCCGCUCGACAUCCAUUGCUUUCGGUCCCCUAGAGGGGGGGGGGGGUUGCCCACAUCUGAGGUCCUCUCCAAGGUUUCUCAUAGUCAGCAUUGUCACUGGCGUCCCACUGGAUGUGAAUUCUCCCUGCCCACUGGGUGUGAGUUUUCCUUGCCCUUUUGUGGGUUCUUCCGAGGAUGUUGUAGUCGUAAUGAUUUGUGCAGUCCUUUGAGACAUUUGUGAUUUGGGGCUAUAUAAAUAAACAUUGAUUGAUUGAUUGAUAGUUAAUAUAGUAAAUCACUCUUUCUUUAUUUUAGGUGUCCCAUUCAGUAAAAAAAUGUUGUCUGUCAUAACUUUUUGGGAAUUUUAUCAGACAUCGUGACUGUACAGCAGAUUUUUAACUGAUAAUAUAUCAUAUUGUAGGUGUUUAUUAAAUGGUAAAUGGGUUGUACAAACCCCGUUUCCAUAUAAGUUGGGAAAUUGUGUUAGAUGUAAAUAUAAACGGAAUACAAUGAUUUGAAAAUCUUUUUCAAGCCAUAUUCAGUUGAAUAUGCUACAAAGACAACAUACUCGAUGUUCAAACUCACAAACAUUUUUUUUUGUUGCAAAUAAUCAUAAUAAUCGUUAACUUUAUUUGAUGCCAGCAACACGUUACAAAGAAGUUACACGUUACAAGUUAUUGAGUGUUUUUAAAAGAGAAGGUGAUGUAACACAGUGGUGAACAUGCCCUUUCCCAACUACUUUGGCACGUGUUGCAGCCAUGAAAUUCUAAGGUAAUUAUUAUUUGAAAAAAAAUACAAGUGUUGAAAAUGAUUUG